CACGUAGGGCGCAAGCGUUGUCCGGAAUUAUUGGGCGUAAAGGGCGCGUAGGCGGCUCGGCACGUCCGUUGUGAAAUCGCCCGGCUCAACUGGGCGGGGUCGGCGGAUACGGCCGAGCUGGAGCAAGCUAGGGGGUAAUGGAAUUCCCGGUGUAGUGGUGGAAUGCGUAGAUAUCGGGAGGAACACCAGUGGCGAAGGCGGUUACCUGGAGCUUUGCUGACGCUGAUGCGCGAAAGCGUGGGGAGCAAACAGG
Molecule: ribosomal RNA, 253 nt
Filed under: uncultured bacterium
Lineage: Bacteria
Description: partial 16S ribosomal RNA
Rfam family: Bacterial small subunit ribosomal RNA
Source: RNAcentral